This 474-nucleotide long non-coding RNA is filed under the name Homo sapiens (human). RNAcentral describes it as "HSALNT0032486". Lineage: Eukaryota; Metazoa; Chordata; Mammalia; Primates; Hominidae. The record is from RNAcentral.
GUUCAGUCAAGGAGAGAGAGAGGCUGCUGGCAGCUUUUCUGCUGAACUCCUUGGGAGCUGCGAUCCAAGCUUUCUGCAGACUGACAUGGAGUGCCUUCUGCAGAGCUCAGUGGCUUCUCUGGCUCACUCCCAAAGCCAGGGUGAAACGGAGCUGGCAUCUAGAAGUCUAACUCAGCUGGCAGAGAGGAGAAGCAGCGGGACAUCAGGACUAUGGCUGGACGUCAGAGAGAAGCAGCUUAACUUCAGAGGUGCAGCUUGAUGGUGUAACUUAGGAGAAGAAUCUGACUGGAGACGGCCAGACUUCAGAAGAAGAUGACCUACCCCCCCAUCCCCUUUUCAGCUUCCCUUCCCGCUGAGAGCCACUUUUAUUGGCAAUAAAAUCCUCCACAUUUACCACCUUUCAAUGUGUUCAUGUGACUUCAUUAUUCCUGGACACCGGACAAGAGCUCAGGGGCCACAGGUGUGGAUAUGAAA